Molecule: ribosomal RNA, 347 nt
Filed under: uncultured bacterium
Lineage: Bacteria
Description: partial 16S ribosomal RNA
Rfam family: Bacterial small subunit ribosomal RNA
Source: RNAcentral
CCUACGAGCGGCAGCAGUGAGGAAUAUUGGUCAAUGGGCGGGAGCCUGAACCAGCCAAGUCGCGUGAGGGAAGACGGUCCUAUGGAUUGUAAACCUCUGUAGGCGGGGAGCAAUGCCGGGCACGCGUGCCCGGAGGGAGAGUACCCGCAGAAGAAGCAGCGGCUAACUCCGUGCCAGCAGCCGCGGUAAUACGGUGGAUGCGAGCGUUAGCCGGAUUGAUUGGGUUGAAAGGGUGCGUAGGCGGAUUUUUAAGUCAGCGGUAAAAUGUCCGGGCUCAACCCGGGCCGGCCGUUGAAACUGGGGAUCUUGAGUGGGCGAGAAGUAUGCGGCUUGCGUGGUGUAGCGGU